This 416-nucleotide unclassified non-coding RNA is filed under the name Hevea brasiliensis (rubber tree). The record is from RNAcentral. Lineage: Eukaryota; Viridiplantae; Streptophyta; Magnoliopsida; Malpighiales; Euphorbiaceae.
AAGUACUAACAGAGAAGAAACCAGACUAUUAAGUCUUUUAAUUUAAGUUUUCUUUUCCUUGGGAAAAAGAAAAAUACAGGAGUUAUAUUUAUUACAAAGUGACUAGUGUCUUACAUGUAAACAAUUCCCUAACGUGAAAUGAUGCACGUCCUUCUAGGACAAGUCCACUGAGUCUUGUAAUUGCAAGAAUCCCUGAGGAGAUAAAGCAGAGGGGUCCAGGAGUCUUUCCAUGAGAAACUUCGAGGAGCUUUUUGCCUUGAGUUGAAUCCAACAAUAAGAAAACAUAUACAAAGUAACUGCUAACACACCACUGUAAUCCUCUGAUCUUGGCUACAUGAGGAGGUAUGAUCCCUAACACAAGAUAACAUUUCUUACCAGAAACGAAUAUAUUGCUUAUUUCCUUUUUCCUGUGCCAA